Long non-coding RNA from Erinaceus europaeus (western European hedgehog), 802 nucleotides. RefSeq lists it as uncharacterized. The transcript is spliced from 2 exons. Lineage: Eukaryota; Metazoa; Chordata; Mammalia; Eulipotyphla; Erinaceidae. The record is from RefSeq and is a predicted model, not a curated record.
CUAGAGUGAUGUUGUGUAGGCACUGUUUCUGCUCCUGGGGUUGGACGAUGAGCAAAGUUUAGGCUGUGUUUCUUGGAACUUGCUAAUGGAGAAAUGUGGGCAGCAUACUGUUUCUUUUUAUUAUUAUCUGUAUUUAAUUCUUGGAAAGACACAGCGAGAAUUCGAGAGGGAGAGAGACACCUUGCAGCCCCUACUCCACCACUCGUGAAGCUUUCCUUCUGCAGCCACCAAGUUGAAGAUGCUACCUUAAUGCCGGCCUGACUUCCCUGAACAGAUGACUCCUUAGUGGAAUGAGGUCCAAUGUGUCCUGAACCCCCACCUUCCCAGAGCCCUGCCCCUCUAAGGAAAGAUAGAAACAGGCUGGGGGUAUGGAUCUACCUGCCAACAUCCAUGUCCAGUGGAGAAGCAAUUACAGAAGCCAGAACUUCCACCUUCUGCACCCCAUAAAGAAUUUUGGUCCUUUCUCCCAAAGUGGGAGAAAUGUUAGGGGAAAAUAACCAGAGGGCUCUGAACCCCAGUUCCAUCAGGACCCAGAGAGAGAGGAAAAGGGGGGGACAUUCAGAAGUAGUACUAGGUAUAGGUGUGACUUGGAAAGAAAGAGAAACCAGGACCAUAGACAAUAUGAGCAAAUAUAUGCAAAUAUAGACAGGUAGUUGUAGAAAUAAAAGCCCACAUCUGCAACCUUGGGAGAACUGCUGUAGCUUCCAAUGGAGGGAGUGGGGAUACUGGUGGCAGGAGCGGUGCAGAAUUAUGCCUGCUGUCUUACAGUUUUCUAAGUCAAUAUUAAGUCACUAAUAAAAUU